Molecule: non-coding RNA, 303 nt
Filed under: Eucalyptus grandis
Lineage: Eukaryota; Viridiplantae; Streptophyta; Magnoliopsida; Myrtales; Myrtaceae
Description: Eukaryotic large subunit ribosomal RNA
Rfam family: Eukaryotic large subunit ribosomal RNA
Source: Rfam by way of RNAcentral
CCAGCUGAGUUUAAGCAUAUCAAUAAGCGGAGGAAAAGAAACUAACAAGGAUUCCCCUAGUAACGGCGAGCGAACCGGGAAGAGCCUAGCAUGCGUAUCGAUCGCCCUCGGCGUUUGAAUUGUAGUCUGGAGAAGCAUCCUUAGCGACGGACCGGGCCCAAGUUCCUUGGAAGGGGGCGCCAGAGAGGGUGAGAGCCCCAUUGUGUCCGGACCCUGUUGCACCACGAGGCACUAUCGGCGAGUCGGGUUGUUUGAGAAUGCAGCCCUAAUUGUGGCAUCCUAGAAUUUCAUGUCAAUCCUUAG